CUCAGGAUGAACGCUAGCGGCAGGCUUAACACAUGCAAGUCGAGGGGUAUAAGUCUUCGGAUUUAGAGACCGGCGCACGGGUGCGUAACGCGUAUGCAAUCUACCUUUCACAGAGGGAUAGCCCAGAGAAAUUUGGAUUAAUACCUCAUAGCAUAACGACCUGGCAUCAGGAUGUUAUUAAAGUCACAACGGUGAAAGAUGAGCAUGCGUCCCAUUAGCUAGUUGGUAAGGUAACGGCUUACCAAGGCUACGAUGGGUAGGGGUCCUGAGAGGGAGAUCCCCCACACUGGUACUGAGACACGGACCAGACUCCUACGGGAGGCAGCAGUGAGGAAUAUUGGACAAUGGGCGCAAGCCUGAUCCAGCCAUGCCGCGUGCAGGAUGACGGUCCUAUGGAUUGUAAACUGCUUUUAUACGAGAAGAAACA
Molecule: ribosomal RNA, 427 nt
Filed under: Flavobacteriaceae bacterium JJ-642
Lineage: Bacteria; Pseudomonadati; Bacteroidota; Flavobacteriia; Flavobacteriales; Flavobacteriaceae
Description: bacterial SSU rRNA
Rfam family: Bacterial small subunit ribosomal RNA
Source: RNAcentral